Bombus huntii is the source of this 2539-nucleotide long non-coding RNA. RefSeq lists it as uncharacterized. The record is from RefSeq and is a predicted model, not a curated record. Lineage: Eukaryota; Metazoa; Arthropoda; Insecta; Hymenoptera; Apidae. The transcript is spliced from 5 exons.
UUAAUAUAUAGUUAAUUACAGCUUUUUCAUAUUAUUUUUUUCGCAGGUAGAAAAUUUCUUAACAGAAAAAUUGAGUUGGACUAAAGAUGGACCAAGAUUUCGUAUUAUUAUUUAAUUUAAAAAUAUCCAAGAGCAAAAAAUAUAGAAAGGUCAAUCCAUCCGCAAGGGUUUGUGAUGAAAGCGUGUCGCGCUCGUGCAAACGAUUAAUUCUAUUCCCAGUGGUAUGAAACUUGCGGUGAGCUCCAUUAUUACAGCAAACAUAGUAUUUUCCACGGUGGAAAAUCCCUUAGGAGGUAUUUUUCACGGAACUAUGUAGGUACCAGAAACAUUAAUAAUUCAGAGAAAGCCAUCGUCGACUGCGACAUUUUUAACUAGGCUUUUAAAACACUACUUGUAUCUCAAUAUUUUUCACGUUCAUAUUUUUCUAUAAAAAUUUGAUAAAAUUUGUCUCGGAAAUUAUAUUAUUCUAUCCUUACAGAUAAUUCAAUAAAUUCAAUAAUUAGAUCUAUUUAAAUUGCAUCGAGACUGCGAAUAGAAAUCUUGUAUGCAAAUUACUAUGAGUAGGUGGUCUUCUCAUUUCGUAUUCGAUAAUUCGAAGAAUGACAAACAAAUCAUUAGUGAAAUAUUCGAUAUCGUCAGCCUAGCGAUGUUUCAGUGAAUCGACCAAAUUUCACUUUUCAGAGAGCCUUAAUUUCCAUAAAAGGAAAUUCUGAAGCUUGACAUCGAUUUCAAGGUGCAUUUCUCAAAGAUGGGGCUUCGGAAACCCUUGAAUAUACCUGUCUAAUGAAAUGUAACAGAAAUCUACACAAUAUUAGGGUGAAAAUCAUGAGGUUAACGUGGUUGUUUUGUUAUGCUAAUAUAACGUGGCUUGACAUCGUGUUUCAAUUGAUUUUUCUUCGCGGGUAACGUACAAUAGUAUAAAUAGUCUCUCCAAUGUGGAAUUAUCUUCUAUUUCCUUGAAUUUCGAAUAAGGAGAUUUAUGAAAUUUACUCAGGUCUUUAAGAUGCUGAAGUUACUUGAAGGAAUUCGUUGCGAUACCGUAAUGGAGAUAAUUAUUAAAACAGAAUUGUAAUGGACACAAAGCAUGGGUGUAAAAAUUAAAGAGACGUGAAAAACAAUUCUCUAAAAUGUUUUGAAAAGAGCACACAGAGUAUUUUUUUAUCCUCGUUUAAUCUACAAUCUAUUAAAAAAUAAAAAUAAACAAUGUCAAACAGUAUUGGUACACUUACAGCAAACGAACGAAAUGUACAGAGAUAAAAUGAAAUGACUCCAUUCGACGCUGCAGACAUUCGACAAAAAUUCACUGGCAUCGUUUGGAUAAUUAAAUAUCUUAAAUAUUUUUUUCUUUGUCUAAGCACAUAAGGUGAAGUUCGAGCACCAAUGAGAGGAACAUUUUUUCCAUUUCUCGCGUGGUCAGAAAUCUUCAACCAAGUCGUGAUUAUGAGUGGAUUUCACUAAAGAAAUAAAAAAUACUCGGUAUAACAGUUUGCAAUAGAAGAAAAAUUAUAUAGCAAUGUAAUAUAAUACUUCCUUGACACAGAACAAUCAAAAUUAUAGGGUGGUUCGAAUCGUUUGUUUGAUUACUCUUUACAGAAAGAAAGAAUUUUUUAAUUGGAAAUUAAAAUUAUACAUAUCUUUACUCAAAUUCUCCUUAUUUAAAAUGUAACAAACACUAUUUAACCAAAAUUAACAAACAAGAAUAAUGAAAGAGUGAGCUAAUUUUCAAGCGAUUAUAUUUUGAUACUGAGGAUAUUAUCGAAUAAUAAGAUCAAUAUCAGGCAAUGAUUAUUUCGAUUUGUAUCCACUGCAUGCCAUUCUGUGCAACGUAGCAAAUUGGAAAAGCACUUCACUAGAAAAUUCGUGGAAAGCAUCGAGCUAGGAUUGAAAAUCAAUGCGCUGGUUUAUUGCUCACUCCAAUUUCGGUGCGUCUUCUUCGAGGAAUCCAAUGAUCUUUGUAAUAACCACGGAGUCUGUUCUCGCGAAAUUCGUGGUUUUCCCUGUCAUGACCAUACUAGGACUAUGCUCGAACUUAUCUUGGUACCAUAACCGAGGUUUAUGCGCCUCCGUUACCUCGCCAGCUCCCGCAUUCGUGAUACUUGCUCGCUGACUGCGCUUCAUAACAGAGACGAUGCGUUUUACUAUUAUUGGUUCUAUUUUUUGCUUUUCCUCUCUUCUUUUUUAAACUAUCCAGUUCCAAGAACAACUAAAAAAUAGUCUCGUUAUCGUUAACAUAUCAAUAUUCGUUACAGCAAUACUUAUGUACAAUUUGAUCUCGAUGUAAUCUGAUAUGGAUAUUUUUUGGAAAUUUAGACAGUUUUUAAAAUCGUUGGAACCAUAUAUAGAGUAGAUAGAGAGAGAUGAGAAAAUGAAUACAGCGUUUUUCAACUUUUACCUAAAAUAUUGAAAUAUGAUCCGAAUAACAAAUUUAUUUACAAGCUAUCAAACUGCUUGAAGCAAUCUCUGAUGACUGUGAUUCAGUUAACACAAGGUAAAUAAAUAAAUUAAAAUACGCUUUAAAAAUGGAAAUAAUAUUUGCUGC